GCAAACUUGGUCAUUUAGAGGAAGUAAAAGUCGUAACAAGGUCUCCGUAGGUGAACCUGCGGAGGGAUCAUUAUCGAGAUAUCUCGCUUUCUAGCGGAUCUCCUAUCUCCUGUUAUUGGUACCGUCGUUGCUUUGGCAGUUGCAGGCGGUCUCAUAUCGUUUGUCCUGCUAGAGGCUCCCUAGCCCCUUUAGUAUUAUGUUGUCCGAUUGGCUGCGUAAUUUAUAAAAAAAACUUUCAACGACGGAUCUCUUGGUUCUAGCAUCGAUGAAGAACGCAGC
RNAcentral lists this unclassified non-coding RNA (279 nucleotides) under uncultured fungus. RNAcentral's name for it is "partial contains small subunit ribosomal RNA, internal transcribed spacer 1, and 5.8S ribosomal RNA". The stretch from base 1 to 73 matches the Rfam family "Eukaryotic small subunit ribosomal RNA", at positions 1759 to 1831 of the family's 1831-position model. The record is from RNAcentral. Lineage: Eukaryota; Fungi.